UAGUCCUAGUCAAGCAAAAAGAAUUUUAGUUUGACACCCCGAAACUAGACGAGCUACUCCAAGGCAGCCUAAUAAAAGGGCCAAUCCGUCUCUGUGGCAAAAGAGUGGAAAGACCUUUGAGUAGAGGUGAUAAACCUACCGAGCCUAGUAAUAGCUGGUUGCCUGUGAAAUAAAUUUAAGUUUAGCCUUUAAUUAUCUCGUACCCCCGACGGCCUAACCAACAGCCCCGGCCCAAAGAUUAUUAAAGAGUUAUUCAAAGGGGGUACAGCCCCUUUGAACAAAGACACAACUUUAAUGAGAGGAUAAUAAACAUACAAAAUUAGGUAAGUGCCAAAGUGG
This 339-nucleotide ribosomal RNA is filed under the name Gambusia holbrooki (eastern mosquitofish). Its description in RNAcentral is "partial 16S ribosomal RNA". It matches the Rfam family "Bacterial large subunit ribosomal RNA", at positions 679 to 1074 of the family's 2925-position model. The record is from RNAcentral. Lineage: Eukaryota; Metazoa; Chordata; Actinopteri; Cyprinodontiformes; Poeciliidae.